Molecule: non-coding RNA, 45 nt
Organism: Anopheles funestus (African malaria mosquito)
Lineage: Eukaryota; Metazoa; Arthropoda; Insecta; Diptera; Culicidae
Source: Rfam
AAAACGGUCCUUUUCAGGACCACCAUUAUUGUUGAUUUAAGAGAG